UGACGUACUUAAUGGAUGCUCCCUCACCCAUCGGGUGCAUCUCGCAGACCAAUGCUUGCGAUGUUUUAUUUUAAUCAUCAUCAUCACCAUUCCUAGACCAACAGUUUAAAAGAACCUAAAAAAAUGCUCUGCACUCGAGGUUUAAAAGCAGUGCGCCAACGUAAACCAGGAGUGUUGGUGAUGUUCUUUCUGAUAAUGGUAUUGGCUGAAAUAUUUACUGUGUUUCGCUAACAUUUAAAUCUUUUAUCUAUUUAUUUUUAUUUUGCAAAAAAAAAUGAGAAGCUCAUCCAAUCAAAUCGUUAUUAACACGACUUUCAUCAAUGUAACACAAAAACUGGGUUUGGAUGAUCGGAAGUUAAUUUUCAUUUUAUUUUGCAAACUUUGUAAUUUUACUAUCUAAUUAGUAUAUAACUAUCAUUUUGGGUUAAGCUAACCUAAACAUCGGGUGUUUUCCUCCGUAUAAAAAAGGUAAGCGAGAUGAGCAAAAUAAACAAUUAAAUAAUAGGCUCUUUUUGAAAACGAUUAUAGAAACCGUGUGUAGAGGUUGCUGAUGAUUGACAUCUCUCUCUUUUCAUCUCACAAAUGUUUUCCCAAUGAAAACAUGCGUAAGCUGGAAAGAGAAAGGUGUCAAUCAUCAGCAACCUCUGUUUGUUUACAUGCUACGAAAGGAAUCAAAAUGAUCACAAGCAAUCAUAAAACAAACUUGCCGUUUAUUCUUAUUUAUUAGUGAUAUGAAAAACUAAAACUAAUACCUAAUACUGAUUAAUACAUCGACGAAACGGUUGAAUGAAUCAGCUAUUCAGGAAAGCGGUAAAUGUGGAUUUCCAAUUAGAACUACCAAGAACGUCACCCGAUAGAAAUGCAAUUGCAAUUACUGUUUGUGGACCGGAUGGUGAAUUCUAUCUCUUGAUUAUUUAGUAUUGAACUUUGAAUGAAAAAAAAAAAUGAACAAUGGCGUGAAAUUGUGUAAUUAUCAAUUGUGGUGUGAACUAAUUGUAGAUACUGGUGAACUUCUAGAAAAUAAAUAGUGAAUGGAUCCGUAAUCAACACAGUCGCAUAAUUACGCAAAGAAAUUAUUUUGUUAGACUCAAGCUCAAAAUGUUUCUCAAAGUGUUUCAGUAUGGUACAAUCUUGUAAUGAUUAUAAAAGGAUGAUUUACUUACAUGUGGUACAUCGGAGGCAGCAGAUCCAAGGAUGGGGUACGUCUUUACAAGCGAUUUUGCUAUCAUUUCCUUAUGGAAUGUGGAUGGCCUCCUACAACGAGUUUUAUAAAAUACUAGCACGUCCUAGCCUUACAUAAGAAUGAAAACAUACUCGCCAUACACUGCUCGCAAACAGUCACACAAGAUGUGGGAGAUCUGCGUUAUCAUUUUUUCGUUUGAAUUUUGACCUUCCUUCAGGCGUUCAAUCAAAUUCCUGCCUGUUUCGGUUUUGCAAAGUAUAGUGUCGAUGUUGAUUUCCUGCAAAAAUAGAGAUUUAUAAAUGAAAUGUGUAGUUUGAGUGUUUGGGCCGUCCAUGAAUCAAGAGAUCUUUGUAAGGGAUAGUUUGAUGCCAGGGGGAAAUGGUUCAAAAUGCCACAAUAAUAUUUUUUAAUCUUUCAAAGUACAAACAAAAGUGAUUAACAAAUGUGAUUGGAUAAAUAAAUGAGUUCAUAGGCGGUUUAUUACUUUAGGAUUAUAUG
Long non-coding RNA from Aedes albopictus (Asian tiger mosquito), 1681 nucleotides. RefSeq lists it as uncharacterized. Lineage: Eukaryota; Metazoa; Arthropoda; Insecta; Diptera; Culicidae. The transcript has 2 exons. The record is from RefSeq and is a predicted model, not a curated record.